GAUAAAGAACGCAGCGAAUUGCGAUAAGUAAUGUGAAUUGCAGAAUUCAGUGAAUCAUCGAAUCUUUGAACGCAUCUUGCGCUCCUUGGUAUUCUGAGGAGCAUGCCUGUUUGAGUGUCAUUAAAUUCUCAACUACACUGACUUUGAAUUGGUGUGGCUUGGAUUUGGGGGGAAAAUUGUUGUGGGCUUUUUGUAUAGUCUGCUCCCCUGAAAUUGAUUAGCGGUACCUUUGUGGAACUGUCUACAGGUGUGAUAAUUAUCUACAUCUUAGACAUCUGCUGGAAUGCUGCUUUCUAAACCUUACUUGUAUUGACAAUCUUGACCUCAAAUCAGGUAGGACUACCCGCUGAACUUAAGCAUAUCAAUAAGCGGAGGA
This 376-nucleotide unclassified non-coding RNA is filed under the name soil metagenome. RNAcentral's name for it is "partial contains 5.8S ribosomal RNA, internal transcribed spacer 2, and large subunit ribosomal RNA". The stretch from base 1 to 120 matches the Rfam family "5.8S ribosomal RNA", at positions 35 to 154 of the family's 154-position model. The record is from RNAcentral.